This 151-nucleotide ribosomal RNA is filed under the name uncultured Thalassomonas sp. RNAcentral's name for it is "partial 16S ribosomal RNA". It matches the Rfam family "Bacterial small subunit ribosomal RNA", at positions 355 to 498 of the family's 1533-position model. The record is from RNAcentral. Lineage: Bacteria; Pseudomonadati; Pseudomonadota; Gammaproteobacteria; Alteromonadales; Colwelliaceae.
UGGGGAAUAUUGCACAAUGGGGGAAACCCUGAUGCAGCCAUGCCGCGUGUGUGAAGAAGGCCUUCGGGUUGUAAAGCACUUUCAGUCGUGAGGAAAGGUUAGUAGUUAAUACCUGCUAGCUGUGACGUUAGCGACAGAAGAAGCACCGGCU